GAGUAGCAUUGUGGUUAUAUGUAAGACUUUAUGUUUAGAGAUUUGUGCUAAACUUUUUAUGGAUGAAAUGAUCUGUCUGGGAUUUGCUUCAGAAUAAUCUGGCAGGGGGACGUGGAACCAGGUAUGGAUAGAGCCACGCUGGCCCCAGGUUGAUGUUUUUGGGGGCCAAGUAGCGAGGACAUGGGGUUCAUUGUACAGUUUGUCUGCUUUUGUUUAUGUUCAGAUUUUUCUAUGAUAGAAAGUUAAGCCAGAAGGACAAAGGAAUUCAGAAGAUUCAUCUUUAGAACUUCACUUAUUUGAGGGGUAAUUUUUAAGCAGUAAAAAGAUCAAGGGUUUAUGAUUUGAAACUUUACAAACCAAAAUUAUUUUACAGCAACGAAAAAUCUGUCUGAUGCAUGCAAACCACUGAAGAAGCGAAAUCGGGCUUCCACGGCAGCAUCUUCAGCUCUUGGGUUUAGCAAAAGUUCAUCUCCUUCUGCAUCCUUAACUGAGAAUGAGGUCUCGGACAGCCCGGGAGACGAGCCCUCGGAGUCCCCAUACGAAAGUGCGGACGAAACACAAACUGAAGUGUCUGUCUCAUCCAAAAAGUCUGAGCGAGGAGUGACUGCCAAAAAGGAGUAUGUGUGCCAGCUGUGUGAGAAGCCGGGCAGCCUCCUGCUCUGUGAAGGACCCUGCUGCGGAGCUUUCCACCUCGCCUGCCUUGGGCUUUCCCGGAGGCCAGAAGGGAGGUUCACCUGCAGCGAGUGUGCCUCAGGGAUUCACUCAUGUUUCGUGUGUAAAGAGAGCAAGACAGAUGUUAAGCGCUGUGUGGUAACUCAGUGUGGAAAAUUUUACCAUGAGGCUUGUGUGAAAAAAUACCCUCUGACUGUAUUUGAGAGCCGAGGUUUCCGCUGCCCCCUCCACAGCUGUGUGAGCUGCCAUGCUUCCAACCCUUCAAACCCAAGGCCGUCGAAAGGUAAAAUGAUGCGGUGUGUCCGCUGCCCCGUUGCCUAUCACAGCGGGGAUGCUUGUCUGGCAGCAGGAUGCUCAGUGAUCGCCUCCAACAGCAUCAUCUGCACUGCCCACUUCACUGCUCGGAAGGGGAAGCGACACCAUGCCCACGUCAACGUGAGCUGGUGCUUCGUGUGCUCCAAAGGGGGGAGCCUUCUGUGCUGUGAGUCCUGCCCAGCGGCCUUCCACCCUGACUGCCUGAACAUCGAGAUGCCUGACGGCAGCUGGUUCUGCAAUGACUGCAGGGCUGGGAAGAAGCUGCACUUCCAGGAUAUCAUUUGGGUGAAACUUGGGAACUACAGAUGGUGGCCGGCAGAAGUUUGCCAUCCCAAAAAUGUUCCCCCAAAUAUUCAGAAAAUGAAGCACGAGAUUGGAGAAUUCCCUGUGUUUUUCUUUGGGUCUAAAGAUUAUUACUGGACGCAUCAGGCGCGAGUGUUCCCGUACAUGGAGGGGGACCGGGGCAGCCGCUACCAGGGGGUCAGAGGAAUCGGAAGAGUCUUCAAAAACGCACUGCAAGAAGCUGAAGCUCGUUUUCGUGAAAUUAAGCUUCAGAGGGAAGCCCGAGAAACACAGGAGAGCGAGCGCAAGCCCCCACCAUACAAGCACAUCAAGGUGAAUAAGCCUUACGGGAAAGUCCAGAUCUACACAGCGGAUAUUUCAGAAAUCCCUAAGUGCAACUGCAAGCCCACAGAUGAGAAUCCUUGUGGCUUUGAUUCGGAGUGUCUGAACAGGAUGCUGAUGUUUGAGUGCCACCCGCAGGUGUGUCCCGCGGGCGAGUUCUGCCAGAACCAGUGCUUCACCAAGCGCCAGUACCCAGAGACCAAGAUCAUCAAGACAGAUGGCAAAGGGUGGGGCCUGGUCGCCAAGAGGGACAUCAGAAAGGGAGAAUUUGUUAACGAGUACGUUGGGGAGCUGAUCGACGAGGAGGAGUGCAUGGCGAGAAUCAAGCACGCACACGAGAACGACAUCACCCACUUCUACAUGCUCACUAUAGACAAGGACCGUAUAAUAGACGCUGGCCCCAAAGGAAACUACUCUCGAUUUAUGAAUCACAGCUGCCAGCCCAACUGUGAGACCCUCAAGUGGACAGUGAAUGGGGACACUCGUGUGGGCCUGUUUGCCGUCUGUGACAUUCCUGCAGGGACGGAGCUGACUUUUAACUACAACCUCGAUUGUCUGGGCAAUGAAAAAACGGUCUGCCGGUGUGGAGCCUCCAAUUGCAGUGGAUUCCUUGGGGAUAGACCAAAGACCUCGACGACCCUUUCAUCAGAGGAAAAGGGCAAAAAGACCAAGAAGAAAAUGAGGCGGCGCAGAGCAAAAGGGGAAGGGAAGAGGCAGUCAGAGGACGAGUGCUUCCGCUGCGGUGAUGGCGGGCAGCUGGUGCUGUGUGACCGCAAGUUCUGCACCAAGGCCUACCACCUGUCCUGCCUGGGCCUUGGCAAGCGGCCCUUCGGGAAGUGGGAAUGUCCUUGGCAUCAUUGUGACGUGUGUGGCAAACCUUCGACUUCAUUUUGCCACCUCUGCCCCAAUUCGUUCUGUAAGGAGCACCAGGACGGGACAGCCUUCAGCUGCACCCCGGACGGGCGGUCCUACUGCUGUGAGCAUGACUUAGGGGCGGCAUCGGUCAGAAGCACCAAGACUGAGAAGCCCCCCCCAGAGCCAGGGAAGCCGAAGGGGAAGAGGCGGCGGCGGAGGGGCUGGCGGAGAGUCACAGAGGGCAAAUAGCGCCAGGCGGCAGCUUGGCCGGAUCCAGGGGCGGAGCAGGGCGGCCGGCCCUGCCUGCGGGAGAGGGCGAGCAUGAACUGGCCCAGAGGACCCAGCUCGAGCCGCCAGGACACAGACGUACAGGCCUCCUCGGGAGGGAGCGCCUCCCCACCACUGAGCCAUCCUCAGCAGCAUCCGCUGCGUCUGCACUGAUGACCGUCUGAGCCCAGCUCAGCGUUCCUGGACAAACAGCCUCACUCCUCAGCGUUACCGCCACACUUGAAUUUCUCCGAAUGUCAAGGUUCCCUCCCACUCUAUUUUUUUAGGUUAAAGUUAAUUGGCAUAUGGAAUGUUUUAAUCUCCUCUGAAAUGUGUAGCGUAGGCUUUUCCCAAGGGUCGCUAGAAACUCGGCUUCGCGUUGCCCCCUUUCUGGCUCUCAGCGCCGUCGCCACUCAGGAGAGGCUGGGUGAGGCCCGUGUGAGGACUGACCCUGGAUUCCUCGAAACUGCCAUUGUGAUCAUUACUCUGCUCUUUGGAAAUGGCUAUUAUCUUUUUUUGUACUAAUGUGAAUUGUUCCUCAGAAAUGCUUCUUUUCCAUCCUAGUGAGAAGCUGGCCCUGCAGGUGGUGGCAGCAAUGGUGUUGUAAGAUUUCCUCCCGUAGUUUUUUUCUCCUCAUGGAUUUGAAUGAAAUGCCAAUAACACGUCCACUUUCAACGUGUAGUUUACGCGGAGCACUUUCGAGGCCUGGCCGGGUUGGGCCUACUUCUCACCUGGGCCUAUCUUCUGAACUCGCUAGGUUCUUAUCAACAUUUGGGGGAGAACUUUGUAUAUUUUUUUCAUUUGGCUUUUCUUUACCAGUUUCUGAUUUUUAUUCUCAAUAUAUUUUUGCUAAACCUAUUUCACAAAUCA
Molecule: small RNA, 3603 nt
Filed under: Pan troglodytes (chimpanzee)
Lineage: Eukaryota; Metazoa; Chordata; Mammalia; Primates; Hominidae
Description: processed transcript
Source: RNAcentral